Molecule: small RNA, 643 nt
Filed under: Pongo abelii (Sumatran orangutan)
Lineage: Eukaryota; Metazoa; Chordata; Mammalia; Primates; Hominidae
Description: retained intron
Source: RNAcentral
AUUCCAGAGCUCUCAUGUUCUGCACCUCAGGAGGGAAUUCAGCCUCAGUGAUGUCCAUGAGGCCUGUCCCAGGCUCUCUAUCUUCUCUGCUACAUCUCCACAACAGACAGAGACAGCCCAUGCCAGCCUCCAUGCCUGGGACCCUGCCCAACCCUACAAUGCCAGGAUCUUCUGCCGUCUUGAUGCCAAUGGAGAGACAAAUGUCAGUGAACUCCAGCAUCAUGGGGAUGCAAGGUCCAAACCUCAGCAACCCCUGUGCUUCUCCCCAGGUCCAACCAAUGCAUUCAGAGGCCAAAAUGGUAAGUAACAGUUAUAAUCACCCUUUCAUUAUUCUGUGACUUUUUCUUUUGACUUUGACUCUGACUCCAAAACCUUAGUUAAGCUGGGUAGAGGGCUCCAUCUUUGUUUCGGUGAAUGAAAGGCAGUGCAGAGACUGCCUCUCUUUUUGAGGAUGUUUGUUACAGAGCCUUGGCGUCAGAUAAUCAUGUAACAAGCCCUAGAUUGGCAUGUGGUGUUAAUGAAAGGAACAUUUAGGAGUUUUGGUAGAUCCAUACAAGUUGGGGUAGGAUAUACCCAAGCAUGUAUAUAUUUGCUCAACAUGUGAAAUAAUAAAAAUAAUACAAAACUACUCAUUCUUCAAGGU